GACCACACCUACAAUUUAGAAGUGCUCUGAUUAUAGCUCAACUACAGCUAGUUGGGGACAAUUUCCCCUUCGUUUGGUGGUGGCACGACCGUUGUUCAGCCUAGGCGACGUACAACUGUAUACCCAUUUGACUGUCGUUUUUUUGUAUAUAUAUUCGAGAGAGCCACAACUGUAUAUUUUGUAUAGAUUCAUCCGAAUAAAUUAAUCAAAUCUAGUCA
Molecule: long non-coding RNA, 218 nt
Filed under: Patiria miniata (bat star)
Lineage: Eukaryota; Metazoa; Echinodermata; Asteroidea; Valvatida; Asterinidae
Description: uncharacterized LOC119726628
Source: RNAcentral